UACGAAGGGGGCUAGCGUUGUUCGGAAUUACUGGGCGUAAAGGGCGCGUAGGCGGGUCGUUAAGUUGGGGGGUGAAAGCCCAGGGCUCAACCCUGGAAUUGCCUUCAAUACUGGCGACCUUGAGUAUGGCAGAGGUGUGUGGAACUCCGAGUGUAGAGGUGAAAUUCGUAGAUAUUCGGAAGAACACCAGUGGCGAAGGCGACAUACUGGCCCAUUACUGACGCUGAGGCUCGAAAGCGUGGGGAGCAAACAGG
This 254-nucleotide ribosomal RNA is filed under the name uncultured bacterium. RNAcentral describes it as "partial 16S ribosomal RNA". It matches the Rfam family "Bacterial small subunit ribosomal RNA", at positions 524 to 776 of the family's 1533-position model. The record is from RNAcentral.